GGGGACUGAGCUUGGAGAACUCGUAAGUUUAGGCCUUUCGGACGCGGGUUCGAUUCCCGCCGCCUCCACCA
RNAcentral lists this transfer RNA (71 nucleotides) under Candidatus Aminicenantes bacterium ADurb.Bin508. RNAcentral describes it as "tRNA-Leu". It matches the Rfam family "transfer-messenger RNA", at positions 303 to 374 of the family's 374-position model. From Rfam's summary of the family: Bacterial tmRNA, also known as 10Sa RNA or SsrA, is named for its dual tRNA and mRNA-like properties. Its role is to liberate the mRNA from a stalled ribosome. To accomplish this part of the tmRNA is used as a reading frame that ends in a translation stop signal. Lineage: Bacteria; Candidatus Aminicenantota. The record is from RNAcentral.